Molecule: RNA transcript, 1339 nt
Organism: Papaver somniferum (opium poppy)
Lineage: Eukaryota; Viridiplantae; Streptophyta; Magnoliopsida; Ranunculales; Papaveraceae
Gene name: 60S ribosomal protein L13a-2-like
Exons: 5
Source: RefSeq, a predicted model, not a curated record
AGAGACCAAACAGGGUUAAGAUCUAGUCACUAGUUAAAGCACUAAAAUGAUUUAUCACCUAAAUACCUCUGGUUCUUGUGUGGUUAGGUCUUCGAUCAAUGCCUCUUAGCAAGCAUGUGCCUACUACUAUUGUUUACGACGGGUUGCAGAAGAAACAAUGCUUUAAAGGAGUGGCAUCUGCGCUAAACGAGUCGUCGUGAUGCUCGUGACCAUAUGCUUGGAAGAUUAUCUUCAAUUUUGCCAAAUAGUAAUUGUUCGUGUGCAGGGAUCUGUCUUUCUGGUGAUCUUGUUUGUCAGAAAAUGAAGUAUCUUCACUAAGGAAGAGGUUGAAUACUAAACCUUCUCAUGGUCCUAUUCAUUUCAGGCUCCUGCUAAGAUCCUUUGGAGGACAAUCCAUCGUUACUUGUUUGUUUCUAGUAUGAUUCCACACAAGACCAAGCGUGGGGCUGCUGCACUUGCUCGAUUUAAGGCUUAUGAGGGUAUUCCACCACCAUAUGACAAGGCUAAGAGGAUGUUCUCCCUGUUGCUCUUGAGUUUUUGAAACUUCAACCUGGACAGAAGUACUGCUUGUUGGGAAGACUUUCGUCUGAGGUUGGUUGGACUGUCGCUGGUACCAUCAAGUAUGCAUGUUUAGCUUACCGCCACAUCAAAAUAGACAUUCCUGCCAUAUACGAGGUUUACAUGGAGCUAUUAUCAUCUUUCCAAUUGCUUCUGUAUCAUCUAAAAAAAUUCAGCUAUUCACUGCUGGCGUUUGUGUUUCAACUUGCAACUCUGUGUAUAUUACUGUGAGUGACAACUCUGGUGUUAGUGUUUGUUUCACAUCUGACAUGCUGUACCGGCCAUUCAAUGGCAUAUAGUCGUUCUGUCUAAUUAUAUAUUUUUUGAAGAAUCCUUUAUCUGAAGAAUAAAGAGGGAAACUAAAUAUGUUACAAAAAUGAUUUACAUGCAUCAACCCCGAACUAAAACACAUUCGACUUUGUGAGCUAAUUACGUACAAGUGUUGUGUCCCAAUUGAAGACCACUUGGCCAGUUGAUAUAAACUUAUUAAAGACCUCUUGCUCUGAACCAACAAAAGGAUCUCAUGAAUAACCAAGAUCUUGAGGGCAUCUGCUGGUUUAAUUGUGCCUCCAAAAACCCUUAUAGUUUCUUUGUCUGAUUGUCUCCAUAGACGCAAUUAACAAUAAAGUAGUGGAGGCCAAAUGUGAAUGUUUUUGCAUUUUUGUACAUUCAAUCCUUCUAUAAACUGUUGAAAUAUUGAGAGUUGCAUCAAAAAAAAGAAGAAUUGGGAGUUACAAACCCAUGAGAUUCUAAAUGGCAUAUAUGACCCAACAGCAUAUGA